ACGCACGCUGGCGGCAUGCCUAACCCCUGCAAGUCGAACGAGACCUUCGGGUCUAGUGGCGCACGGGUGCGUAACGCGUGGGAACCUGCCCUUAGGUUCGGAAUAACUCCCCGAAAGGGGUGCUAAUACCGGAUAAUGUCUUCGGACCAAAGAUUUAUCGCCUUUGGAUGGGCCCGCGUUGGAUUAGCUAGUUGGUAGGGUAAAAGCCUACCAAGGCGACGAUCCAUAGCUGGUCUGAGAGGAUGAUCAGCCACACUGGGACUGAGACACGGCCCAGACUCCUACGGGAGGCAGCAGUGGGGAAUAUUGGACAAUGGGCGAAAGCCUGAUCCAGCAAUGCCGCGUGAGUGAUGAAGGCCUUAGGGUUGUAAAGCUCUUUUACCCGGGAUGAUAAUGACAGUACCGGGAGAAUAAGCUCCGGCUAACUCCGUG
RNAcentral lists this ribosomal RNA (432 nucleotides) under uncultured bacterium. RNAcentral's name for it is "partial 16S ribosomal RNA". It matches the Rfam family "Bacterial small subunit ribosomal RNA", at positions 29 to 507 of the family's 1533-position model. The record is from RNAcentral.